AAGUUCCUUCUAAAACAGGGGUCCCCAACCCCCAGACCACAGACAAGUAUCAGUCUGUGGCCUGUUAGGAAUGGGGCUGCACAGCAGGAGGUCAGCAGUGGGCAAGUGAGCAAAGUUUCAUCUGUAUUAACAACAGCCCCUCCCCAUCACUCACAUUACCACCUGAGUUCUACAUCCUGUCAGCUCAGAAGUAGCAUUAGAUUCUCACAGGUGUGCAAAUCCUAAAAAAGAAAAAAAAGAACAGUCUAUUAACAUAGAGUCCCUUCUUAAUUCUGACUCCCUACAAUUAGAUAUUAUCACUUAUAGAACUACUAGUAAGGGCUUAAUCUUACAAGGUUUUUUUCUCUACCCUAAAAAUAUCAAAAAGUUUCUUAAUCUUCUUUCUUUCAAUCCGUCAUUCAUACCCUUACUAAUAAAAUAAGAGGAGCUCCAAGAGAACUGGUACCACGGAGAAAGGACUGAAGACAAAUAUAACGUGUGUAAAGGACAGGGGAAGGCAGGGAAGAGACAAGUUCAUAAACGUGGAACUGUUAUAAAAGCUUCCUCCUCAAGUGGAUGACUCUUCCAGUUAGUAUCUCCUCCUACCUUUGUUUCUUUCAAUGUUGGUAAGGAAGUUAAGAGCUGUGAGGAGAUAAGUAGGAGGGGAAAGAAAAGAAAAUUUUUUUUAAUUUUUUUUUUUUUUAAGACAGAGUCUUGCUCUGUCGCCCAGGCUAGAGUGCAGUAGCGCAAUCUCAGUGCAACCUCCGCCUCCCAGGUUCAAGCGAUUCUCCUGCCUCAGCCUCCCGAGUAGCUGGGAUUACAGGCACCCACCACCACGCCCAGCUAAUUUUUAUAUUUUUAGUAGAGACGGGGUUUCACCAUCUUGGAAAGGCUGGUCUUGAACUCCUGACCUCAUGAUCCACCGGCCUCAGCCUCCCAAAGUGCUGGGAUUACAGGCGUGAGCCGCCGCGCCUGGCCUACUUAUUUAUUUUUCUUUUGCUUCCUCAUCCUCUGUCAGAGAGAG
Molecule: long non-coding RNA, 1003 nt
Filed under: Pan troglodytes (chimpanzee)
Lineage: Eukaryota; Metazoa; Chordata; Mammalia; Primates; Hominidae
Description: long non-coding RNA NONPTRT009271
Source: RNAcentral